GAACAUUGAACACACAAAUGGAGGAGAGUGGUCUCCAUUUUGUCAGUUGAAAUGACAUCUAAGGUCUCAAAGGGAACAAAAUGAGCUAUUCUACAUGGCCAUAGUUGUCAUAUUAAAUGAAUCCUGCAACUUGCUGUCAUCUAGACAUCCUAGAAUGAAGUAUAAAUAAGUGUUUCUGUCUAAUUUGAAUUUUGUAUUUCUUUAACAUGCAGUUUUGUUGCUAUCACAUUGUUUUUGCAGAAGAGCAGGUGGUCCUGUCCCUAUUUCCUGUUUUUGGGGUGACGAGGGAAACCCGCAGCCACUACCCGAGGGUGUGCACUGGGACUAGCUCAAACCAAGAAGGUUGGGAUUUGAACUCGUGACCUUGUGGUUACAAGUUUGUAUCCUUAGCCAUCUUGGCUGGCGUUACCCCCGUUCCUAUUUCCCGUUAAUAAUAGAAAUUUUAUCAUGAGCAGCAGUCGGUGGCAGAAAUAUUAGUACACUGACAUCAUUGAGGAGUUUUUGUCUUGAAGAAAAUUGAACAACUCAAGAGAUAAACGUAAGGAAGAAAAAUCCACCACUGCUGGUUGAGCAACAUCAUUGUUAAAGAUUCCCUCCAGCUUAAAGACGCUUUCUUCUCGCCUUGGAGGAAUACAAGAAGCUAGAUGCCAUACAGGAUGAUGUAUCUUCUUUGAUUAUGAUGACUAUUAAGGUUUGAAAGCUCCAGCAGUCUGAGUUUGAUGUGUACAUUACAUGUCUGCAUUUCAUUUCGGUUUAACACCUUCCCCCACCCCCCCCCCUAAAAAAAAUAUUGGUAGUGUUUGAUAACCAACCAAUUAAAAACUGGAUUUUUUUAUUAAGACCAUGGUGAAGUACAUAUACACUGUACAUUUAGAGCCAGUUGAUGUUGAAUUAUCUGUUGGUGUGUUGUUGGUCAAGGCGUACAGCAGUUUGAUUUUGAUGAGUCACACCUCCAUAUAUAUAUAUAUAUAUAUAAUAUAUAUAUAUACACACAUGCUGAAUCCAGCAUCCUAGCAGCAUCCGUACUAGUGCUGGUAGUUUUAUACACGGUUGUUGUUUGUGGUCCUGCACGUGAUAUAGAGAUUGGGUUGCCACUCGUGACCGAUUAAAUGCACUAAUUAUAACAUGAACAACCACAACACUCUCUGGCUUGACUUGUCCUAGUAUAGUCAUAGGGACAUUUUAUUGAAGCACUGUUGUAUUUUCUUGCCUGACAUCCUCCUGUGUUUGGUCAAAAUCUCAUUUUUGCAUUUGCAUUUUGACUGAAUUUAAUGCUGAUAAUCAUGGUUGCCUGGCGAAAAGGGAAAGAACAAAAGUGCAGAUGGAGAUUAGACCUUAGGGGUGAUUUACACUUAAGUGUGUGUAUUUGUCGUAGUCAAGUUGGAGUUUUGUAAUCAGUCUAAAUUUGAUCUGCCAUUUCUGCAAAAAAGUUCAUGGCCCUUCCGUACAGUUUUGUAAUCAGCUUGUGAAUGAAUGUCUUUUUUUAAAAAAUUUCUUCUCUGAUCUCUAGCAGCUGAAAUAAGUUACCUGUUUUUUGCCAGUCUCGUUAAAUCAAUGUUUGUCUUGAAUCAAGGUAGUAUUUGUUGACUGUGGUCGUACAUGACUCCUCACCUUCUUCAACUCCCUCGCUAGGGAUAGAUGGCCAUUGCACAGGUCGGCCAUUCUUGGACCACUAGUCUCAGAAUCAAGGUCGAUAUCAGGUUUAUUCGAGCUGGUUUCGAUAUGUUCAGUUUUGUAGGGUAAUCAAAGUCUAAGUCGCGCUAAUGGCUACAUCUACCUCUUGCAAGAGGAAACAAAUAGCAGUUGUUGAAUGAGUCAAAAUAGGUUGAAGUGAAAUGUAAGUCAGGCAGCCCAACAACUUAGGUUGUCAAAUGUCAAUCUAACGGUAAGAUACUAAUAUCGGAAAAUUGACUCUUGUAGAUUUGAACUUUACGAACAUAAGUCAGGCCAAAUUUGAAUUAGUCUCGCAAUAGUUGGAUAUAUAUUAAA
This is a long non-coding RNA of Ipomoea triloba (trilobed morning glory), 1989 nucleotides long. RefSeq lists it as uncharacterized. The transcript is spliced from 3 exons. Lineage: Eukaryota; Viridiplantae; Streptophyta; Magnoliopsida; Solanales; Convolvulaceae. The record is from RefSeq and is a predicted model, not a curated record.